Molecule: RNase P RNA, 364 nt
Filed under: Bacteroidales bacterium
Lineage: Bacteria; Pseudomonadati; Bacteroidota; Bacteroidia; Bacteroidales
Description: RNase P RNA component class A
Rfam family: Bacterial RNase P class A
About the family: Ribonuclease P (RNase P) is a ubiquitous endoribonuclease, found in archaea, bacteria and eukarya as well as chloroplasts and mitochondria. Its best characterised activity is the generation of mature 5'-ends of tRNAs by cleaving the 5'-leader elements of precursor-tRNAs.
Source: RNAcentral
ACAGCAGGUCGUUCUAUCGCUCGCAAUUUUAUUGCGUGAGGAAAGUCCGGGCAACGCAGAGCACCGUGUUUCUUAACCGGAAGGUAUUCGCGAGGGUACAGUAUUGCAGAAGAAAAUAACCGCCCCGAAACUUGUUUUCGGGGUAAGGGUGAGAAGGCGGGGUAAGAGCCCACCGACGAGCCGGGCAACCGGUUCGGUCGUGCAACUCACGGGUUGAAAGACCAUGUAUAUCGGAUACGUAGGGCUGCUCGCCCGAUGCCGAGGGGUAGGUCGAUAGAACCAAUUGGCAACAAUUGGUCCAGAUAAAUGAUAGAAGUUUUGCUUAGGCAAAAUACAGAACCCGGCUUACAGACUUGCUGUUGUU